CCAAAACCAACUGAAAACUCAGAUAUUCAGAUAAUAACACAAAACUGAACCAUGUAAACCGACUAAGCUAUAAAUCAACAGAAAUAAUAAGGGUAAUAACUAAAUCGAAAUAACCUGGGUCGGAAGCUCUAUCGACCGCUACACACGUACCUCACGUCUCGUCCCACUACUCAUCGCCCGCGAUACCUGAAAAAUGGUGGGGGAGGUGAGAACAUGUAAACAUGUCUCCCCUCCCAGUGGGUACCGCAAGCCGAAGAAGGCGAGGAGUACUCACCGGAUCAGGAAGAGCUAUACAACAACACGGGUCAGUGGAAAUACAAUAGGAACAAUAGUAAACAAAAGAGAUGUAUAAGGUAAUGAGCAGAUAUACUAAAUACAGUAGCAAUAAACUGAAAGAAAGUAAGAACUAGACUGAAUAACGGCUACCGCUACUGUAACUGGAACCGAAAGCAUACAUGAAUAUCUACUAUAGCAGCAAGACAACUAUAAAGUAAGAACUGUAAGUAUGCAUGCAACGACUGCUACUAUAGACAUAUGCGUCAACCGGUCAAGAAGUCCAAAAGUACCCAAUCUGAAACCAAUGCUCUCUUGGUCAGCACCGCAGACCUCAAGCCAGUGCCACUACUACUCUCCAGUGCAUAUAACCCCUCUAGGGCUCACGGGUUGUCACCAUUCAACCACUUUUCCGGAAAGAACACUUCUUGCGGUGGAUCAGACCGCCAGUGUUCGUGAAAUGCGACGAGUAUCGGGCGAUCAAUGCAAUAUGCUCAAUGCUCAACCGUCGGCAACCAGCCGACAAUCCUGCCCCCCAGGGCCCAUCGACCGCAUAGGUCGUCAACUGUAAGGAAGCACAAGAACCGACCACUCAUGUCAACUAGGAUGGGACAACAUCGACAUCCUCUCAAACAUAUGCAAAUACUGCUCAAUGAACCUCAAGGACUGACCCCUCAGAUCAACUAGGAUAUGAAACUCGACCAAUCAUGUCACAAGUAUAGAAUAUGAAACUCGACCAAUCAUGUCACAGGUAUAGAAUAUGAAACUCGACCAAUCAUGUCACAAGUAUAGAAUAUGAGUAAAGUAUAAUCAUCCGUCGGCAACUAACCGACAAUCCCACCCCUCAGGGUAUACCGACCUUAACGGUCAUCAGACAACAAAGGUCGAGGAACUCACCGAAUAGGUCACAAAUACUGAAUACUAGAAUCGACCGACUAGAUCGCUGAUCUCAUAGAUAAUCACGGAAUCGCUCUACUAUAAACAUGAAACAGGGUAUGCAGAAUAGCUAAGUAGAGCAACAAGGAAACAUGGUAUCAUAAACAGAUAGACUAUACUCCUACACGUGAUACUAAGCAUAGAAACGUCUGAGUAGAGUAUAAUCAAACAACGUGGGUGUAAUGUAAACAAUAGAGGUGCAAAGCUCAACAUAUAAUAUAAGCAUGGAUAAUAACAAAAGAGCAAGGGUAAGAAACCAUCACCGAGCGUGCACCACUGUACCAACGUCGGAUCGAAGUACCCACCUGUACAACUGUCGCGCCUGUCUCCUGACUGCAAAAGAAUGUCAACCGGACCUA
Molecule: long non-coding RNA, 1568 nt
Filed under: Ananas comosus (pineapple)
Lineage: Eukaryota; Viridiplantae; Streptophyta; Magnoliopsida; Poales; Bromeliaceae
Description: long non-coding RNA (ACOM_LNC027988)
Source: RNAcentral